GUUUAAAACAAACUUUCAGAGUUAUAAUAACGAACACUCUUUAAGAAAAAAGUAUUUGAUCAAACUCGUGAGUGAGUACAACUUUCAUGUUACAGUCCCCAAAAAGGUAUAAAAAUCUAAAAUAAUCGUAACCACAAUAACUCGAUAGUAUAUUAUAAUACUAAAAUGACGUAAAACCUUUUACGCCAAAGGACACACCCCAUGCUAAUCUCAACAAAUACUUCCAUGGGACAACAUCUCCGGCAAACACGGACAUACUCUAGAAAUAAAUAAAAAAAUAGAGCGAAAACUGAAACUCACAGUAAAACCAAAAAUAAUAACUUCAAUAUUGAAUAAAUGGAACUGCAAACCAUUAGGUACGGCAAAUCAGCAUCUUCAAAAGAGGAGAAAUUAAAUGCACCGCAUGGUCUUCAUGAGAACUGUGAAUUGUCAUAUAUCAUGAAAACAUGCCUUACAUCCACUCUAGUAGAAACAAUCGGAACUGCAGACAGGGAAAAAUACCAAUAGAGUAAAUAAAAUACAAAAAUACACGAAUUCAGCGAAAUAUUAACAGACAGAAAGAGAAGAAUAUCUUCUAUAAGACAGAUGAUUUACCUCAUGAGUAGCAUCAUAAUAUGCUUAAUAAAACCCCAAGGGAGAAAAUUUAUCUGCUACAACUUUGAGUGCAGUAUAUCAGGAGAAGAAUGACCAGGCUACCAUACUGUGUUAAUGAUGCACACGACAGAUUCAGACAAGCAACAGCAACAAGUUUAGGAGUUAAAAGUUGAGUGUUUCCAAAUGUAACAGGAACAACCCAACAGUGUGACCAAAAUGAUUUAACUUCCAACAGCAGCAAACGCAUCUUCAGAUCUUCAACUUCAACAGCAGCAACAGCACAAACAAAACUAGAACGCACCAGGUAAAACAUCCAUGCAUCAACUGAGCAACACUCCCCACCACAAGGUGGGACCCCAGACAGCAUGAAUCAGAAACAAAGAUAUUCCCAAGUUCUAAGUUGCAAAUUUUCCAUCAUCCAAUCAGAUACAAGAUCUACCCAGUACACGGAAUUAAUUCAACAGUCAAAAUCCCAAACCUGCCUAAAAUACACUUCCCAGAAGGCUACACAAAAGGGGAGCCAUAAUCGGCAUCUCCAUAGAUUGAAACAUUUACAUCACGAUUUAAAAGAAACAAAGUGGCUCUCCACAACUACUCCUACUAUAGAAUUAACUUAAAAGGAAUUAACUCAUCCACAACGAAGUAAUUUCCAAGUGAAAGAGCCGUGAGAACAAAUGAAAAAGAACAGCCAUCAACAAGAAGAGACAUAGUUGAAGCCUUGGUUAUGCCAUGACAAUGGUUCUUACGCAGAACUUAUUUUUAGAUGGCUUUUUACAUGACAUAUUUUAGAUGCGAAUCUUGUUCACCUGAAAAAAACCUACUAAUAUUCAAAUAAUAGUUCAAGUUUGACAGCUAGACGGCUAAAUAAUUACUAGCACGAGGCUUAAGCUAACGCAACUUAAAGUUGAUGCGUCACAGAAUAAUUGGUCUAACGAUUGGUCUUUUAGUUGUUAAUACUUACUUAAAAGGUGUCAAUAUUUUCGUUUUUGAAAUACAUUCGUUCUUGAAAAAUAUGUACAUGAACCCUAAGUUAUCAAAAAUCAUGGUUAUAUUGGAUAUAAACAUAGAGUUGAGAGGGGAGACCAGCCAAAAUAUUUUAUGACAUAGUUUAAAGCUGCUUCAAUAAUCAGCUGUAUGUGACUACAUAUAAAAGACUAAGCUUUGUGCGGCUUGUUGAAUGAUUCUACAACUAUUGAUUAGAGAUAUUACCAUUACUGUGUAGGUGAUUAUAGAGGAAAAGUAAUUAAUAUAUGGAUGCUGAUAAUGUAAAAUUGAUUAUGUACCUCUGAGGAGUGCAGCAGUAGAAACGUUGCUUUGUCCAUCGCCAUAUUAAGCAAUUCAACACGAAUAACUUGUCCAUAAAAAACAAGUAACCACUGGAUCGGUGCGAGAUUGUUGGACGCAGGAGCAGGGAAAGAACAUGAAAAAAUAAAAGAGGCGACACACACAGAGAGGAGAUCCAGGCAAAACCCUGUGCCUCUCCUCUCCAACACCAAAAAAUAUAGUUUUAUUAGGUACUUUUGGCCUGCCAUGCGAGCGCACCCAACAUGGCAAAGGCCUGGCAACAUAAAACAGUAAACACCUCACUUUUUUCCUCUCAAACCUCGCACAACCUCAACUCAUUCUUUUAUCUCUCGUACAUGUGCAUGCAUCGAUAAAAACUUAAGCAAAUAAAACAUUUAAAUAAUUAUAAACAUCAAAAUUAAACCAUCAUAACCUUGGAUUCACCAUAACGUUCUAUGAUUCAACCUUCGCCGAUGAUAACCGGUCAAAAGAGCUUGAUCUAUGACAACAACGAACAAAACCGAUAGUCCUUGCAUCUAUCUUCAAACCAAUAAAUCUCUUGCGCACAACGGUUGAACCCUCGCGAUGAUAACAUCAAGGUUGCUGAAACUUCUUCUCCAAUCUCCACAAAUCUAUUAAGACCGAACAGAUCUGAUGCUCGACUAUGCUCAUCUAUCCCAAACGAACACACAAACACAUCAGAUCCACCAUCUCUUCGUCAACCGUCGGCCAGAACAAACAAAUAUCGAACCAUCCAUCCAUACGGCCCGUCAGUCGCCGGUCCGGUACAAAACCACGGCGGUCCGGUACAGAAACGCGGCAAAUCCAUAUCCAAAACGUAGAUCAAGCAACGAUCUACACAGAUCUGAUCAUAAAAUUUGGAGAAGAUAAACUACUUAGAAGAGAUCUGGAGAAAAGAAGAAGAUAGGCGUAGAGGGAAAAGGUA
This 2824-nucleotide unclassified non-coding RNA is filed under the name Hevea brasiliensis (rubber tree). The record is from RNAcentral. Lineage: Eukaryota; Viridiplantae; Streptophyta; Magnoliopsida; Malpighiales; Euphorbiaceae.